Eucalyptus grandis is the source of this 1190-nucleotide RNA transcript. RefSeq lists it as uncharacterized. NCBI's taxonomy places the organism in Eukaryota, Viridiplantae, Streptophyta, Magnoliopsida, Myrtales, Myrtaceae. The transcript has 3 exons. The record is from RefSeq and is a predicted model, not a curated record.
ACAGUCUGACUCCAAUGUGAGUUGUGCCACACGAAGAAAGAGAAAUUUCAAUGUCUCCAGCAUUGCUAGGGUUUCCGCUUGCUCAGCCGAGGAGAUGGAUACGUUAUUUGCAAAGCCAUCAAUCAAAAUCCCGGUAGAAUUGCGACACACACAGCCGAUUAAACCUUCUUUUAACCCAGGUAAGUGCGCUGCAUCAAUAUUUAUUUUCAAUUCCCUUUUUUCUAGUGUAUCCCAUCUUUCUUCCUUCUGUGUUCUCAAAGAAGGCGCCUUUUUGUUUUAGCAAAGUUUAUGAGCAUUUGUAACCCUAAAUCCACCAUGGGCUUCGGAUCUGGAUGUGUCCUUUUGAAGACAAGGUUGUUUCUUGAAUUCCAGAUAUUCUAAAGCACUUGUCGAGAUUAAUUCAAAGAUCAUUUCACACCGAUCUCAACCAUUCGCAUAAAAGGAAUAUAUGUUCCAGGGUUUCGACAUGUGCUUGGCACAUUGGACACAAUGGAUCGGGUAUAUUCUUCAGCAAGGACUACCCAAGCAAUUUAAGAAGAAAGAUGGCCAACGAGCUGAGAGUUCCGGAGAUAGAAAAGACAAGGAAAUACCUUGGUAUCCCCUCAUAUUGGGGAGUAUCCAAGCAGCAAAUAUCUGCUUGAAUCUUGGCGAAGAAAAAUAUGAAGUUGGAAGGGUGAAAAGAGAACCCAGUGUCGAAAGCCAAGAAAGAAAUCCUUAUAAAAAUAGUGGUCCAAGCAUUAUCACGGUACGGAUAUCCAUUUUCAAGAUCCCCAUUUUCAAGAUUCCUAUUUCAAUAUGUUGGGCAACUGAACACUGAGUAAAUUGGUCAAUUAUGAGUCUCACAAACAAAACUUUGGCUAAAACAUGUGCUCUCUUUUACAAAAGCCCCGAUGAUGUUCAUUUUCAUUUAACAUAACUACUGCAAAUAACAAAAUAUAGUUAGUAAAACAAUUAGCGACGGAGCAAUCAAAUAUAAUUUCUUUAUAUCGACUUUGAAAAGGUCGUUUUUAUUUAAAUAUCAUGGAUCCUCUUCUAGAGGGACGCAUGUUACUAAUUCAAACGCGGUGGCUUUGGUGCUGAACAACAAACACGCUGGACUUCUUCAAAACCCUACCUAAAAGGUGACGCACAAAAAUAUAUUAAAUUCAUGCAAUGCUUGACAUAUCGUACGAGAGAUAUCCAUGAAAUUG